Molecule: ribosomal RNA, 857 nt
Filed under: uncultured bacterium
Lineage: Bacteria
Description: bacterial SSU rRNA
Rfam family: Bacterial small subunit ribosomal RNA
Source: RNAcentral
AUGCAAGUCGCACGCGAAAGGGGGCAACCCUGAGUAGAGUGGCGGACGGGUGCGUAACGCGUAGGAAUAUACCUGGUAGUGGGGGACAACCCGGUGAAAACCGGGCUAAUACCGCAUACGAUCUACGGAUGAAAGCAGGGGACCGCAAGGCCUUGCGCUAUCAGACUAGCCUGCGUCGGAUUAGCUAGUUGGUGAGGUAAUGGCUCACCAAGGCAACGAUCCGUAGCUGGUUUGAGAGAACGACCAGCCACACUGGGACUGAGACACGGCCCAGACUCCUACGGGAGGCAGCAGUGGGGAAUAUUGGACAAUGGGGGCAACCCUGAUCCAGCAAUGCCGCGUGUGUGAAGAAGGCCUUCGGGUUGUAAAGCACUUUCGAUGGGGAAAAACAAGCCAGACCUAACACGUCUGGCCCUGAUGGUACCCAGAGAAGAAGCACCGGCUAACUCUGUGCCAGCAGCCGCGGUAAUACAGAGGGUGCAAGCGUUGUCCGGAAUUAUUGGGCGUAAAGAGCUCGUAGGUCUUUUGUUACGUCGGAUGUGAAAACCUGAGGCUCAACCUCAGGCCUGCAUUCGAUACGGGCAAACUAGAGUUUGGUAGGGGAGACUGGAAUUCCUGGUGUAGCGGUGGAAUGCGCAGAUAUCAGGAGGAACACCAAUGGCGAAGGCAGGUCUCUGGGCCAAUACUGACACUGAGGAGCGAAAGUCUGGGGAGCGAACAGGAUUAGAUACCCUGGUAGUCCAGACCGUAAACGGUGGGCACUAGUUGUGGGAACCUUCCACGGUUUCUGCGACGCAGCUAACGCAUUAAGUGCCCCGCCUGGGGAGUACGAUCGCAAGAUUAAAACUCAAAUGAAU